CUCACAGGUGUUGAAGAAAAAAGAGUCGCAUGCUCCUUGGUCUUUGGCCACAUUGAUACCGGUGGUGCACAUGUUGUCCUCCAGCACGGCUACACAGCACUGCUCCUGCACUGUCCUGUCAUGACCGAUACCAAACCUCAAUAAUCUCAUCAUCUGCAAGCGAUAUACAGGGUGUACCCUGCCACUCGUCCAAAAAGUCAGCUGGCAUAGGCUCCAGCAUACCUGCGACCCUAGUGAGGAUUAGCGGCAUAGAAGAUGGAUGGAUGGAUGAAGACUUAACAGGCUAAGUACUCAUAUAAGGACUGCUGUGACAUAUACAUCUGCUAACAUUGGACUAAUUAUUUCCUCAUCUCCCCUAGUGCCGGCAGCACUCAUGCAGCCCUGGACAAUGACGCUACCGCCACCAUGCUUGACUGUAGGCAUGACGCAAUUAUCUUGCUACUCACAUGCGUUGGCAGCUAUUUAGACAAUAAUGGCUGUGUGUUUACUCAUUUUCAGUGGAGUAAAUCUAUACUUCUAUACAAGCUGUGCACUGACUACUCUAAAGUAUUUCCUCGUUUCAUUUCUCUACUAUUGUCCCUUGAUAAGAUGUUCUUUUAAAAGAAUUGUGAAAUGUGAGGGCUGCAUACUGUAUUUCCAGCAUCACUGUGCCCCAGUGCACAUCCAAGCAAUGCUUGGGUGAGUUUGGUGUAGAAGAACCCAAGAGCCCUACCUUAGAGACUAGGGUAGGGAUGCAACAAUCCACAUUUUCAUGAUACCGGAGUUUGGAUAUCUGCCGAUGCCGAUACAAUUCCAAUACCAGAGAUCUGUUUGUUUCUUCAGUAUACAGUACAACCACACCAAAAGAUUGUCAUCACAUGUACUGUAGCCAGAAGAAUAUCAGCGAACUUAGCCGUCCCCACAUAUGCAGGGCUGCGUAUUGACACACACACACACACACACACACACAAGUGCUCUGCCUGACGCAUUCACGGCUUCAUAGUCGGACAACACAGAACUUUGAACAAUGCACUUAACUUUUAUUGUUUAAAAUAUUUUGUAAUUAUUUAAUAUUUUCCAUCCAUCCAUAUUAUAAGACUAAUUAUAUAUUCAGUCCUUUCCGGUGUAUAAGCCGCUAGUUAACACAUUUAUUAUAUAUAAAUACAGUCAAACCGGUCUUAGCGGCCACCUUUAUAGAACGGCCACCUGCCUAUAGCAGCCACUGAAAAAAUCCCCCCCAGCAAAUUUACAUGUUAUAGACCCUGUGUAUAGCAGUCACCUGUCCAACGCGGCCAGCGGCCACCCAUUUUGUCUCCCUUGGUCAAUAUCUGACUGCAUAUAGCGGCCAAAUUACCAACUCAAGUAGAAGCUUCAUGCAUGAAAAAGUUUAGUUUUUCAAUCAAUGAAGCCGUCGUGUGUAGACUUUAAUUACUGAGUCCUAGCUCAGUCACAAUCAUUCACAAGAUCCACACAAACUGUCAGUUGUUCCACAUAAAAACAGCCGUCUUCUUUUGAGCGUGCUAUUUCCUGGUCAAACAUGUAACUUUAAGAGCAUUUGCACCAAAACAUUACCGCAAAGUAGGCUGGGAACAGGACGUGCUCGCAGCGACGCUACAAUAAAAAAAAACAUAUGCUAGCAUGCAUGCGGCAGCGGGAGCAAAACUGAGUUCGGUUGUACUUAACUGAAGUAUUUUAGAAUGUACUCACGUUAUUUUUCAUCAAUCCUCAUCCACAAAUCCAUCAGUCCUCAUCUUCUGUAUUCGACACAAAAAAAUCCGUCUUCUUUUCCGUUCGCUACUAGUCUGUUAACUUGUCAGUGUUAUUCAGCUCCGAAGCAAAGAAGGAAACUUCUCCUGUUGCUUCUGCCAACUUUAUUUAUUGAACGCGGCCACCAGACAGCAGCUCAGAACACACACACAUCUCUCAGCAUCGUCUCUCCUUCCUGCUUGCCCACAAGGCAAAGGUUAAACAAGCCCCACUCCAUAGCUGUCCAGCCAAUGCCUGUAAGAAAUGACACCGUUUAUUUCCUGGUGUGCACUGGUCAAUACUGUAAUGCCGCUUGUUGUGGGGAAGGAGAGACUCACGUCGCCGAUGCACUUUAAUGGCUUUAUUAACAGCGGAGAACACUGCAGGACUUUACAUCCACGCCAACAUAAACACACUUCCCAAUUCUCUCGAAACUCACAGCUAGCACUGAGCCUAGCUCUCCUGCUCGGGACGCCCACCGUCACUUCCUGAUGAACUAAAGCUGUAAUGACACUGCCGUAUAAAAAGUAAAAUAUUAAAAACAAGCGUAAGACAUUACUACCACAGCUUUGUUCUGUGGGUCGUGGAUAUAUUCUAUCAGUUAUUAUUAAGCCUCUAGCUUCCUUUUAGUAAGUAAAAACCUUGGCUAUGAUUGCACUACAUUGUCAUGUAGACCUACAAAGUACACUUGGAAGAACAAGAGGUGAAUAAAUGUAUUGAAACUGAUGAGGGGUAGGAUUAAAUAAGCUUUGCUUCUUCCUACUCCUUUUUGGACAUGCAAAAUUUUGAAUUGUACUAUGUGAUGUGCUACUGUUUGACUCAUGCAUGUUCAGGAUUAAAACCAUGAACCAUGAACCAUGAUAAUAACAAGCCUAGUAGUGCUGUACAACUUUUAUCCGCAGUGCCCUCUACUGGUCAACAUUAUUAUUAUUAUUAUUUUCCCUUUUUUUUUUCCUCUACUGGUCAACAUUCAAACUGGACGCCAACCUGUCUAUAGCGGCCACUUUUGCAGACUCCCUCUAGUGGCCGCUAUAGACAAGUUUGACUGUAUAUAUAUAUACACACAGUAUAUAUACACAGUAUAUAUGUUGGGUUUUUUUUCUGAUAGGUUUUCUUAUUUACGUUAUUACAGUGUAUUCGUGGAGAUGGCUUUCUAGGUACGUUUACUGACAACAUCAAAGCACAGAUGUGGCUUAUGGAUCAGAAAUCUCCGCAAGUGGUAUUGCAAAUUUUGGAUAAGUCAGUUAUGCUGCUACUGGAACCCGGUACUGGAUUGGAUUAGGCCCAUGAAACGCAUUCACAAUAAGGUCCAGGUUCAACAUCAGUUACCUCUGGAGAGGAUAAAUAGGCAGGGAUUCCCAAAUCUGUAGAAAGUCUUCCUGGAAAAGUGGGAGCUGUUCUAGCUGCAAAAGUAAGGAGCAACUCCCCAUUUUCUUGACUUUUUACUUCCUGUAGGUGCAAUGGCCAAGUAUCAAAAGGAACAGACCCUCCUUCUCCCUCACAGAAUAUCCGAUUGCCUCAGUCCAAUCAGUUAAAUUGCUGUUCUGGAUCUCAGCAGGCUUUUACAAGAAAAAGAGCUUAGCCUCCCCCACGCGUCUCCUCUGUCAUUUCCAACAAGCUCUCUUUGGAGCUCUUACCAGAAUCUCAUUCACCUCCACGUGCACACCUCCUCUGCACUGCCUUUUAAGGGCAUGAUGACCACGCGUCUUCACCUUUUUUUCCACCUUACUCACUCUUCCUGUUAUUCCAUCCUCCGUCCACGUUGGGUUUCACCUCCGUGGUCACCCCCACCCCUCACAUGUGGUGCGUCCCACCCCCACAAGCCCUUUCCUCUGGUGCUAUAAUUUGGACAAAUUUGGGAUCACUUAGGGUGGCACGUCGUCCUCAGGUUGCUAGCCGUUAUUAUCUCAUCAUUAUUACCGCUUCCUGUUCUCGCUGGGAGGAAGCAAUAUGGCCACAGACAUAUGGGAGAAAGGUAAAGUCAAUUCACAUUAAAGGCCUGCAGACAGCACGUCUACAUGACAAGCAUAUAUGGUUACAAUGUAACGGAUAGACUACUGCAUUGUAGCAGUUUUACCUGCAUGUGGGGGACCCGGAGAUGAGCGGGAGGGUUGCACAGACUUUGUUAUCGCUGGCACCCCUCUGGCCAUCUUUGCAGCAGUCGUCAAUGGAGAUCUGCUGCACACCUACACAAAAAAACAGCCAAGGAAGUUAAUUAUCUAAUUGUGGAUCAUAGUACCACAGGUUGUCCAAGUAAUACCUCUAUUUAGUGAACUCAUUCAAUCUCGGCCAUUUCUCAAAAGACAACCAGUUCACUAUCAGCCAUUUUAGAUGAUUUUGACUGAUCUUUCAAGGCACGUGCAUGCAUUAAGAUUUCCCUACAGUGUGUAACCUUCUGCACGCUACACGCCACCAAGUUCUUUCAGUUCCUCCUUGCUGUCAUGUAUGUUUUCUCCAUUGAAAUUCACAUGCUGAGCUCUUAUCAAAUGCACUUCUGCCACCAUGUGGGCGUUUUUAUGGCUUAAACUGCUCUAAAAGUGGCAUCCAUUAGUGUGCAAUUGUGUCAUCACCUCUUUUUGCCAAAAAAAAACCGUAAAAGAUGUAUAAAUACGUCUUUGGGAUCGGGCGUUCGGAGUUAUAAAAACUUAUAAAUACGUCUUUGGUACUGAAAGAGUUAAUUCCACAAGAUGGCAGUAGCUGCAUUUGAAGUAUCAUGAGUGGUCAGCAUCCAGCAGGUGUAUUGACCUCUGCAUGUGCUUUAAAAUGUCAAAUGCAAUGUUGGGCUAUUUGUGUGAAAGUCAUGUGUGUUACACUUGCCAUACUGUUGUUUACAGUUAAGUAAUCAUCGCUAUUGAUGCUGGCUAAGCAGUUUGUUCCUUGCCGCUAUUACAUCAUUGGUUCUGUUGCGGCUAUGCUGUGCAAUAUACUUGUUGACAAAUGA
This is a long non-coding RNA of Dunckerocampus dactyliophorus (ringed pipefish), 4666 nucleotides long. RefSeq lists it as uncharacterized. The record is from RefSeq and is a predicted model, not a curated record. The transcript has 2 exons. Lineage: Eukaryota; Metazoa; Chordata; Actinopteri; Syngnathiformes; Syngnathidae.